RNAcentral lists this ribosomal RNA (254 nucleotides) under uncultured bacterium. RNAcentral describes it as "partial 16S ribosomal RNA". It matches the Rfam family "Bacterial small subunit ribosomal RNA", at positions 524 to 776 of the family's 1533-position model. The record is from RNAcentral.
UACGGGGGGGGCAAGCGUUGUUCGGAAUUACUGGGCGUAAAGGGCUCGUAGGCGGCCAACUAAGUCAGACGUGAAAUCCCUCGGCUUAACCGGGGAACUGCGUCUGAUACUGGAUGGCUUGAGGUUGGGAGAGGGAUGCGGAAUUCCAGGUGUAGCGGUGAAAUGCGUAGAUAUUCGGAAGAACACCAGUGGCGAAGGCGGCUCACUGGCGUUGGUAUUGACGCUGAGGUGCGAAAGCGUGGGGAGCAAACAGG